AUAGAUGGGAUGUUGCUCGUU
This 21-nucleotide microRNA is filed under the name Picea abies (Norway spruce). RNAcentral describes it as "pab-miR3693k". The record is from miRBase by way of RNAcentral. Lineage: Eukaryota; Viridiplantae; Streptophyta; Pinopsida; Pinales; Pinaceae.